UUGGAAGAACACAGGAUUGCCCUAGUAACGGCGAGUGAAGCGGCAACAGCUCAAAUUUGAAAUCUGGCUCUUUCAGAGUCCGAGUUGUAAUUUGCAGAGGGCGCUUUGGCUUUGGCAGCGGUCCAAGUUCCUUGGAACAGGACGUCACAGAGGGUGAGAAUCCCGUACGUGGUCGCUAGCUAUUGCCGUGUAAAGCCCCUUCGACGAGUCGAGUUGUUUGGGAAUGCAGCUCUAAAUGGGAGGUAAAUUUCUUCUAAAGCUAAAUAUUGGCCAGAGACCGAUAGCGCACAAGUAGAGUGAUCGAAAGAUGAAAAGCACUUUGGAAAGAGAGUCAAACAGCACGUGAAAUUGUUGAAAGGGAAGCGCUUGCAGCCAGACUUGCUUGCAGUUGCUCAUCCGGGCUUUUGCCCGGUGCACUCUUCUGCAGGCAGGCCAGCAUCAGUUUGGGCGGUGGGAUAAAGGUCUCUGUCAUGUACCUCUCUUCGGGGAGGCCUUAUAGGGGAGGCGACAUACCACCAGCCUAGACUGAGGUCCGCGCAUCUGCUAGGAUGCUGGCGUAAUGGCUGUAAGCGGCCCGUCUUGAAACACGGACCAAGGAGUCUAACAUCUAUGCGAGUGUUUGGGUGUCAAGCCCGAGCGCGUAAUGAAAGUGAACGGAGGUGGGAACCCGCAAGGGUGCACCAUCGACCGAUCCUGAAGUUUACGGAAGGAUUUGAGUAAGAGCAUGGCUGUUGGGACCCGAAAGAUGGUGAACUAUGCUUGAAUAGGGUGAAGCCAGAGGAAACUCUGGUGGAGGCUCGCAGCGGUUCUGACGUGCAAAUCGAUCGGCAAAAUUUGGGGCAUAAGGGGGGAGAGACUAAUCGAACUAUCUAGUAGCUGGUUCCUGCCGAAGGGUCCCUCAGGAUAGCAGUAACGUAUUCAGUGUUUAUGGAGGGAAAGGCCGAAUGAUUAGAGGGAUUGGGG
RNAcentral lists this ribosomal RNA (963 nucleotides) under Exserohilum rostratum. RNAcentral's name for it is "partial large subunit ribosomal RNA". It matches the Rfam family "Eukaryotic large subunit ribosomal RNA", at positions 50 to 1035 of the family's 3401-position model. Lineage: Eukaryota; Fungi; Ascomycota; Dothideomycetes; Pleosporales; Pleosporaceae. The record is from RNAcentral.